CGGGAAACCGGAGCUAAUACGGAUAAUAUAUUGAACCGCAUGGUUCAAUAGUGAAAGACGGUUUUGCUGUCACUUAUAGAUGGAUCCGCGCCGCAUUAGCUAGUUGGUAAGGUAACGGCUUACCAAGGCAACGAUGCGUAGCCGACCUGAGAGGGUGAUCGGCCACACUGGAACUGAGACACGGUCCAGACUCCUACGGGAGGCAGCAGGC
Molecule: ribosomal RNA, 211 nt
Filed under: uncultured Staphylococcus sp.
Lineage: Bacteria; Bacillati; Bacillota; Bacilli; Caryophanales; Staphylococcaceae
Description: partial 16S ribosomal RNA
Rfam family: Bacterial small subunit ribosomal RNA
Source: RNAcentral